UAUAGUUAUUAGCACUUGUUAUUUGUGGUUUAGUUUUAGCCUAAUUAUUAACUUAGUUAACUGUAAAAGAAACAUCUAAUUUUUUUAGUAUUUGGUGAAUGAAUUAUAUUUUUUGUGUGAUAGUGAAUAAGUACCGAGAGGGAAAAAUAGAGGGGUUAAGUAGUGGAAUAGUAGAAAUUAAAUUUUGUACCUUUUGUAUCAUGGUUUUUCUAGGUGUACUUGGUAUUAAUGUUGCCCGAAAAAAACUGAGCUAUUUUUUGGCGUGGCGUUAGCGUAGUAAAGCUAUGUUUAGACCUAAAAAUAGGAGUGAAAUGCUUUUCGAAGUUUUUGAUUGCUGGCUAGCCAAGAAAUGUAUUAAAGUACAGUUCUGCAACAUAUUUGACUUAAUUUAUAAGCAAUAUUAAUAAACCGAAUAUUGGGCAGGGUUUACUUUUUAAGGGAUAAGCUUUAAAAAGGAGCUAAGAGAUCAGGAGAAGUAGAUAAAACAUUUGGUAGGCUUAGAAUUGGCUAUCUAGUUUUCGAACUUUGUUAUAAAGUAGUUAAAAUUAACUUAGGUUUACUGAGAUUCUUAAUGUUCUCUAUAAAUUUUAUGUGUUAGUAUUGGCACUAUCAAUUAAACUAAUGGAUUGAUUUGUUUCUGAAAAAAUGAGUAUUCAAGUGGACUAUAUAUUUUAACUAAAUUAUUAUUUAUAAAAGAUAAAUUAGCUAUUUAGAUAACAAAAAUAUAAGUUAUAUAGUAAUUAAGUAUGCAAUAAUAAUUUGAAUAAAGGAAUUCGGCAAAAAUAAGCUCCGCCUGUUUAUCAAAAACAUCGCUCUUUGUAAAUACUCUAGUAUAAAGAGUCGGACCUGCCCAGUGACUAAAGUGUUAAACGGCCGCGGUACUCUGACCGUGCAAAGGUAGCAUAAUCAUUUGCCUCUUAAUUGGGGGCUAGUAUGAAUGGUUUGACGAGAGCUAAGCUGUCUCUAUUUCAAAUUUUUAGAAAUUAUUCUUUAGGUGAAGAUUCCUAAAUCUAAUUGAGGGACAAGAAGACCCUAUUGAGCUUGAGUGAAGCAAUAUAUUUUGUUGAAUUUAUUCAAAAGUUUCAUUUAUGAAGACAUAAUAUAAUGUAAAUUUUUAGUUGGGGCGACUUAGGAACAAAUAAAACUUCCUAAAUAAUAAGUCAAAUGGGAGUAAAUAUUGGUUAGCAUGCUAGUGUGAUAGAUCCAGUAGUUACUGAUCAAUGGAAAAAGUUACCAUAGGGAUAACAGCGUAAUCUUUCUGGAGAGUUCUUAUCGAAAGGGGGGUUUGCGACCUCGAUGUUGGACUAAGAUAUCCCGGGGGUGUAGCAGCUCCUGAUGGUUGGUCUGUUCGACCAUUAAAAUCUUACAUGAUCUGAGUUCAGACCGGCGUGAGCCAGGUUGGUUUCUAUCUUCAGUUAGAACAACAAUGUCUUCGGUUAGUACGAAAGGACCGCUGGUACGAAAGAUAAAUAGUUUAUAUGAAAAGAAUUUAUCUAAAGGUUUUUAAAUAAUAGAUAAGUAUGGAGACUAGAGUU
This 1535-nucleotide ribosomal RNA is filed under the name Tectus virgatus. RNAcentral describes it as "16S ribosomal RNA". The stretch from base 90 to 1467 matches the Rfam family "Bacterial large subunit ribosomal RNA". The record is from RNAcentral. Lineage: Eukaryota; Metazoa; Mollusca; Gastropoda; Trochida; Tegulidae.